RNAcentral lists this long non-coding RNA (1326 nucleotides) under Podarcis muralis (Common wall lizard). RNAcentral's name for it is "lncRNA (ENSPMRG00000008264.1)". The record is from RNAcentral. Lineage: Eukaryota; Metazoa; Chordata; Lepidosauria; Squamata; Lacertidae.
GAAUGUUUCACACCCCACAACUCCUCCUUGCCUUCCGUGCUACCAGCCGCAAUGGGCACAAGCCACCAUUUGUCCAACCUGAAAGGGAAACCAAGAUUGGUUCAGAAUGUGGGCCAGCGUAAAGAGCGAAGAGCCUUCCUACACCUGAAUCCAGAGUGGUAAACAGGCAAAGCCUCCGGUGACCCAGGAUCUCAGCUGUGUAAGACCUGGAAAGGAAGGAGGUCACAUAACACAAGUGCAGAACAGAUGCUCUGCAUGGAGAAAGGUCCCCGAUUCAAUCCCCAGCAUCUUCCUGAUGCACCUGGGGAAGGUCCCUGUCUGAAAUCCUGGAGAGCAGCUGCCAGACACUGUAAACAACACGGAGUUUGGUGGAUCAAGCAUCAUGGCUUGGUGUCAUGGAGUUGUAGCUUGUCAGCAUCUUGGGGACACCAGGUUGGGGAAUUCUUAUCUGCACGGAUUGACAGGGGCUCUCCAAGGUUUCAGUGACUUGACCAGCACUACCUGGAGAUGCCAGGGAUAGAACAGAGGACCUUCUGAAUGGAAUUUACCACUGAAUUACAAGCACCUGCACCUUGUCAGUCAGUCACAUGCCUAUAUAAAUGCAUCCGCAUGAGCAACAAGGCCUUAUUUGGAGCACAGCCAGCCGUUCCAUAUGCUAUAGCAGACAUCCAUGAAACCAGCUGGGAAAGUCCGGUGCACGGAAUCGUAGGCGGCCAGUGUUGUCGACCUAGAGAAACAAUAUCGACUUCGUUACGAGUGAGCAGGCUCUCAGUCUGCCAGAUGCUAUUCCACAAGGGUGCUUUGGAAAAUAGUGGAAGCUCUGAAAUACAGCAUGGGCAGCUAUGUUUUUUGGGAUUUUCUGAGGCAGCACUUCUGAAACAGUGCAGCUCCACACAGGAGCCUGGACAGGCCUGGUUCAAGGCUGGUUCUGUUUUGCUGCUUUGGGGCAUCUCAAGGUAAGUUAAGAUCUUGCCUCACAAGUGGCUGGUGCCCAUGGACACUGGUGGGAGGAAAGCAGAGAGACCAAUAGUAGGGGCAGCCAGAGCUCAGUGAGAGGCAGAGCCAACUCAUUUUAGUUUUGUCCCCAUCUUCCCCAUUUUAGUUUUGUCCCUACUGAGUUCCCAUGCCCUCCAACAUCCUGAAUCCCCAAACCUGGAUAUGUGUCUUCCCACUCAUACAAGUCACAUGACCUGUGUGAGAACACAGAACCCCAAAGACGUGCUUUUUCAGGGUCAUGCUUGCACAGCACCCCAAAAUGCGUGUUUUGGCGAGGUGUGUGAAAUCACCCGAAAUAGUCCCUGUCAGUGCUUUUUUUCUGGGGGGACA